Molecule: ribosomal RNA, 309 nt
Filed under: uncultured bacterium
Lineage: Bacteria
Description: bacterial SSU rRNA
Rfam family: Bacterial small subunit ribosomal RNA
Source: RNAcentral
GUUUAAAGGUUUUACCGCCUUUGGGAUAGGCUUGCGUCUGAUUAGCUAGUUGGUGUGGUAACGGCACACCAAGGCUACGAUCAGUAACUGGUCUGAGAGGAUGAUCAGUCACACUGGAACUGAGACACGGUCCAGACUCCUACGGGAGGCAGCAGUGAGGAAUAUUGGGCAAUGCACGAAAGUGUGACCCAGCAACGCCGCGUGGAGGAUGAAGGUAUUCUAUAUCGUAAACUCCUGUGAGAGCAGACGAAAGACAGAUUAUUAAUUUGGAUGACUGUAUGCUCAGAGGAAGCCCCGGCUAACUACGUG